GAUGAACGCUGGCGGCGUGCCUAAUACAUGCAAGUCGAGCGAACAGACGAGGAGCUUGCUCCUCUGACGUUAGCGGCGGACGGGUGAGUAACACGUGGAUAACCUACCUAUAAGACUGGGGUAACUUCGGGAAACCGGAGCUAAUACCGGAUAAUAUAUUGAACCGCAUGGUUCAAUAGUGAAAGACGGUUUUGCUGUCACUUAUAGAUGGAUCCGCGCCGCAUUAGCUAGUUGGUAAGGUAACGGCUUACCAAGGCAACGAUGCGUAGCCGACCUGAGAGGGUGAUCGGCCACACUGGAACUGAGACACGGUCCAGACUCCUACGGGAGGCAGCAGUAGGGAAUCUUCCGCAAUGGGCGAAAGCCUGACGGAGCAACGCCGCGUGAGUGAUGAGGGUCUUCGGAUCGUAAAACUCUGUUAUUAGGGAAGAACAAAUGUGUAAGUAACUAUGCGCGUCUUGACGGUACCUAAUCAGAAAGCCACGGCUAACUACGUG
Molecule: ribosomal RNA, 497 nt
Filed under: uncultured bacterium
Lineage: Bacteria
Description: partial 16S ribosomal RNA
Rfam family: Bacterial small subunit ribosomal RNA
Source: RNAcentral